GGCGGCACUAGCGCGGUGGUCCCACCUGACCCCAUGCCGAACUCAGAAGGGAAACGCCGUAGCGCCGAUGGUAGUGUGGGGUCUCCCCAUGUGAGAGUAGGGAAUCGCCAGGC
RNAcentral lists this ribosomal RNA (113 nucleotides) under Klebsiella pneumoniae. Lineage: Bacteria; Pseudomonadati; Pseudomonadota; Gammaproteobacteria; Enterobacterales; Enterobacteriaceae. The record is from RNAcentral.